Musa acuminata AAA Group (dessert banana) is the source of this 900-nucleotide long non-coding RNA. RefSeq lists it as uncharacterized. The transcript is spliced from 2 exons. NCBI's taxonomy places the organism in Eukaryota, Viridiplantae, Streptophyta, Magnoliopsida, Zingiberales, Musaceae. The record is from RefSeq and is a predicted model, not a curated record.
UUCAGACUGCAGUAUAAAAUCGGAAGGGAAAGUUAUGGUUACCUUCACAAGUUGUACAGUAAAAAUAGCACUUCGAAGUAGUUAAGCUUACCGAUCUAAAGAGCAUCUAAUAGCUGUUCUCCUAUAGCUGCCAGAAGUUCCCCUUUGACGGUUUUUGGUCUUGUGUAAUUCCAAGUAUUUCUGUUAUCGCAGUACCGUCUAAUGACCAUGAGUGUCCACCUGUAUUGUAACAUCCCUCAAUUCCGAAUGUUCGUAUAAAUUUUUGGUGAUAAUGUAAGCAUCUAUUUUAAUUGACAAAAGAAAUAGAGUAUGAAUCAGAGGUAACUUAUUUUUAAGAUUUGGGAGAUCUGUUCAAAAAAAAAAAGAAAAAAAAGAAAGAAUCUGAGGACCUAUAUGUAAACCCUAAGGACCUAAUCGUGAAUAUGAUAAAAACAAGGACUAAACUGCAAAAUGCACCAAAUGACAAAUUCCACCGCUUAAGCCUCUCUGCCUUCGUUGUUAAGGAAGCAGAGGAGGCAGCUCGUGGGUGAUCAGGGAAAGAAAAGAAGAAGAAGAAGAAGAAGAAGAAGAAGGAGAAGAGAAAGAAAAUUUGGGGCUUUUAGGGUUUUUGCUUUAAUCUUGUUACUUCGGGUCAAAAUUUGCAAAGGAUAGCGUAACUCUUGCUUAAAUGUUAAGAAUGGGCUGAGGCAGCGGAAAGUUUAGAAGACGUUGGGCAGAACUUUUGUUAGCAUAUAUGUAGUUGUGUAUAAGCUACCUUGCAUCUAAUGAAAUGUGACUAUGAAUCUAAACCUGUGGAUUUUGUGUAAGUUAAAGGAUCCCUCAUGUAUAAGGUUUUGGAAUGUUAAAUUAAAUUGUGUAAUGAUAUGAACUUAUGGUAGAUCGAUGAUUGUGGUGACUGCA